GGUGGGCUCUCUAGGAGAAAGGUCCUCCGGGACUCUGUGGUCACUGUGGAGACUCUCUAGGAGGGAGGUCCUCCAGGACUCUAUGGUCACUGCAUGGAAAAGUCCUCCAGGUCUCUAUGGUCACGGGUUGGACUCUCUAGGAAGAAAGUCCUCCGAGUCUUUAUGGUCUUCCACUAAAACCGUGCUAGAAGGGAGGUCCUCCAGGUCUCUAUGGUCACCGCUUGGACUCUCUAGGAGGAAAGUCCUCCAGUCUUUAUGGUCUUCCAUUAAACCGUGCUAGAAGGGAGGUCCUCCAGCACUCUAUGGUUUGAAGUCCUCCACCUCUCUAUGGUUGCCAGCACGGCCCCACGUGCCCACGGGACACUCUAGCCCACCUCCCCGGUCUCUAUGGCCCCGCAGCCCCUCUGGCCCUUCUUCCCCCCUCUCUAUGGUCUCACCCCCCCCCCCCCAAGGAGGCCACGCGCAGCCACACCUACGGCUCCAAGCACUUUAUUGGGGGGGAGGGGCAGGGGGCAGGGCCACAGCACCCAUCGGUCACCGGGGGGCACCCAUGGGUGCUGGGGGACACCCAUGGGUGUCAUGGGGCACCCUGGGGUUCAACUGAUGCCGAUGCAAAGCCAAUUGCGGUCCUCCAGGGUGGCGUUGACCAACCUCUAAGACCCAACGUUAGCCGUAGAGCACCCAUUGAUGGUUGGGGCGCACCCAUGGGUGCUGGGGGUGGCCUUGGGGCACCCCACGAUGUCAACAACCACCCAUGGGUGCUCAAGGACCACUGUGGGCUUCAUCUAACACAGGUACAAAGGGUUCUGUGGUCCUCCAGGGUAGCAUUGACCAACCUCCAAAACCCAACGUUGACCAGAGAGCACCCAGGGAUGGUCGGGGAGCACCCAUGGGUGCUGGGGGAUCUGGUCGGCGUCGGCGUACACCUCCACCUUCCGCUGCUUCUCCAGCUUCCGCCGCAGUCGCGACAGCUCCUCCUGCGGGGGGGGGGGGGGGGCUGACCCACAGCACCCAUGGGUGCCCCCCGACCCCUACAGAGCCCAUAUGCCCCAUAGGGCCCCGACAGGGACCCCCAGAGGCCCAAAUUUGCCGCCUUCAGAGCCCCCCAGAUCUCCUAUAGGAAACUCCCCAUAGGUCCCCCAGACCUCCCACAGGUCCCCCACACUCCCCUAUAGGACCCCCAGACCCCCUACAGGUCCCCCCAGAGCCCCUAUAGAUCCCCGAUAGGUCCCCCAGACCCUCUAUAGGUCCCCACAGCCCCCCUAUAGGUCCCUGUGGACCCCCUACAGGAUCCUAUGGGCCCUAGAGGCGCUGCUGUAGAGCCCCUAUAGCACCCCACAGAACCCCUAUGGGUCCCACAGACCCUUAAAGACCCCCCCGGAGUCCCUAUAGGUGCCCGCAGACCCCUUAUAGGGGCUCUUCAGGUCCCCCCAGAGCCACUGUAAGGUCAUCCUGAGUCCCUAUAGGGCCACACAGACCCCCCUAAAGGUCCUAUAGGGUCUUGUAAGACCCCCAUAGGGCUCCAUAGCACCCAUAGAGCCCCUUAACCUUUCCCCAAGCACCCUAUAGCACCCAUAGAUCCCCCCCCAGAUCCCUAUAGGGUGCUGCGUGGCUCCUAUAGAGCCCCAUAGAAGCCCCCGGGCACGCUGUAGGGCUCCCACAGCACCCUAUAGAGCCCCUUAACCCCCCACCCUGAGCACCCUAUAGUACCCCACACCACCCACGUGCCCCACCAGGACCCCUAUAGGCCCAUAAGGUGCUGUAGGGACGCUAUAGAGUCCCAUACAGCCCCCUGAGCACCACCAUACAGCCCCUUAAACCCCCUCUAAAUAGCCUACAUUGCCCCACAGCAUCCAUAGGAUCCCCCAGGACCCCUACAGAGCCCACCUAAGUGCUAUAGGAGACCUAUAAGUGCUAUAGGAGAGCUACAGAGUGCCAUAAAAAGCCUAUAGGGUACCAAAAAAAGCCUAUAAGGUGCUAUAGGAGACCUAUAGGGUGCUACUGACCAUCUAUAGAAUGCUAUAGAAGACCUAUAGGGUGCUAUAGAGGGUCUGCAGGCCUAUAGAAAGCCUACAGGGUGCUAUAGGAAGGCCAUAGGGUGCCACAGAAAACUUAUAGGG
This 2120-nucleotide long non-coding RNA is filed under the name Anser brachyrhynchus (Pink-footed goose). Its description in RNAcentral is "lncRNA (ENSABRG00000001049.1)". Lineage: Eukaryota; Metazoa; Chordata; Aves; Anseriformes; Anatidae. The record is from RNAcentral.